CGACGGGAGCUUGCUCCCUUAGGUCAGCGGCGGACGGGUGAGUAACACGUGGGUAACCUGCCUGUAAGACUGGGAUAACUCCGGGGAAACCGGGGCUAAUACCGGAUGCUUGAUUGAACCGCAUGGUUCAAUCAUAAAAGGUGGCUUUCAGCUACCACUUACAGAUGGACCCGCGGCGCAUUAGCUAGUUGGUGAGGUAACGGCUCACCAAGGCGACGAUGCGUAGCCGACCUGAGAGGGUGAUCGGCCACACUGGGACUGAGACACGGCCCAGACUCCUACGGGAGGCAGCAGUAGGGAAUCUUCCGCAAUGGACGAAAGUCUGACGGAGCAACGCCGCGUGAGUGAUGAAGGUUUGCGGAUCGUAAAACUCUGUUGUUAGGGAAGAACAAGUACCGUUCGAAUAGGGCGGCACCUUGACGGUACCUAACCAGAAAGCCACGGCUAACUACGUGCCAGCAGCCGCGGUAAUACGUAGGUGGCAAGCGUUGUCCGGAAUUAUUGGGCGUAAAGCGCGCGCAGGCGGUUUCUUAAGUCUGAUGUGAAAGCCCCCCGGGCUCAACCGGGGGAGGGUCAUUGGAAACUGGGGAACUUGAGUGCAGAAGAGGAGAGUGGAUUCCACGUGUAGCGG
RNAcentral lists this ribosomal RNA (631 nucleotides) under uncultured Bacilli bacterium. RNAcentral's name for it is "bacterial SSU rRNA". It matches the Rfam family "Bacterial small subunit ribosomal RNA", at positions 70 to 681 of the family's 1533-position model. Lineage: Bacteria; Bacillati; Bacillota; Bacilli. The record is from RNAcentral.